UAAGUUUUUAAUUAUAAAAGCGCGUAAAUUCUUCUUUGUCGACAUCUUCGUCCGGUUAUGGGCAGUUUAUUGCAUGAGCGUCCUCUUCAGGUGAAGACAUUUUUAAAAAGCACUUUCUAUCCAAGGCACACCCGAGAUGCCUGAAGAUGACUACAGCUGGGAGCUAUUAGCUGGAAAAUACAAUGGGACCACAGCAUAAAAUCUUACCUAGUCCGAGUUCAAAUUUGAUAACAAUACCACAGAAAAUUUAUAUUUUUACACGUUUUUCUAAGGCGUUUUCCAAAAUCGCAUUUUUGUAGAGUCCAAAGGAACCUUGGUAACCAAGGACACACCCAGCUGACAAAAAAGGUCCCCAGAACGUCCCCUAAAUGGCCUCUGCAAACGUUUACGUGUAGGGUCCCCUUGACGUCCUGUGGAAGUCCGCAAAACGUCCCACGGACGUUCAAGGGGAUGUUCACAGGACAUCCAGCUGAAGCUUAGGGGACUUUCACUUAAAGUCCUCUGAACAUCGUUUUAUUUUACUUAUAUAGAAUAUAAAGUGUAAUCAAUGUGUGUAACUAUGAAGUUGACUAAUGUUUCAAUGUGUGUAACUACAAAGUUUACUAAUGUUUGGAUAUGUUAAUUUAAAUGUUUAAAUAUGUUAAUGUAUGUAUACCCAACAGUUAAGAAUUACUUGUGAGAAACAUUGUCUAAACUCAUAGUACACUUGUUGAUCAAGUUAUAAUCUAAGUGUGUAUUGAGCUAGAAGAAUUAUGUGUCAGUCUGUACCUCUCUGCACAGCAGGCCUAAUUUAAAACUAUAAAAACACUUUCUAACAAGUGGUAUUCUAAGUGUGUACAUUAAGUGCUUUGUGUUUGUCUAAAGCGGCUUCACUCUAUGGCAGUAAAUUAAGAACCUUGUGUUUGUCUAAAGCAGCUUCACUUUGUGGCAAUAAAAAACAAUUAGGCAUAUACCAGAACUGAGUUUCUAAACAAAGCCCUCUAAGCUUGCAAAUCAGUGUUAAAAGAAAAGAUAAGAAUUCAAGGAGGAAAAGUACCAAGAUGAGACUAUAGGGUGAAUUAUUUGAUAAAGUAAAAAACCCUGGUCUGGUAAAACUUUUAAAGAAAAUACAACUGACUACGCAUGCGCCACAAAUUUAAGGUAUCAUAUGGCUGUGAAUAAUUAGUUAAGGUAAUGGACAUUGGUUUGUUUCUAGAAAGAAAAGGUGAAUGCCCCGCCUAGAGAUAAUUUUACUGCUUCAGAGAGCUAUAUAAAGACGUGUGUUUGUAUGUACAAUUGUGACCCUCUACAGACUCUCUCACGUUAUUGUUUCAAUAAACAUAUGAACAACCUCCAUAUUAGCUUCAGUUAAUAACGAUAGGUGACUGAGUUUUUGUUUGUUUGUUUGUUUGUUUUGUUCUGUUUUUUAAUUAGAAUUUAGAACGUAGAACUUCGAAUGUAUUGCGUGACAUAAGCAAGAAACCCUAUAUAUAAGAGAAGUCUCACUCGGUAUAACUACAACAGCUGCUGAUCUGCUUCAUUUACAUCUCGGACUUUCACCGGACGGACUCGCGCAGGAAAACUGGACGGAACAUCUGUUCGGAGCAGGAGAAACGGAGCACGCUUUCGGAGACAGUACGCGCACGCACACGCGUGAACAUCUCUGAACUUCAGAUCAACCAGGUUAUCAAAAAGCUUCAGCAGGUGCCGUGUGACACACACACACACACAAGGUUGGCUGCCACACACACACUGAAAUAGAAAUACACUGGAAUGGCCAAUCAUAGCGCAAUUAGUGAUAACGAGGCGAGAUCGCGGCCCGCCAUCUUGCUCAGUGCUACAUGUAGUCCAUAGUUACUGGCAGCAUGGCGUCAGAUCACAUGUACCCAAGGAAAAAGCCCAAACUGAGCCAAGGGGCACAUAUAUAGACAUUCUGUAAUAAUUUUUCACCUCCAUUUUCAAAUGUUAUACAUUGUCAUGCAAACAUUUUUUAAAUUAAAAAUCAUAUUUAUUAUAUUUACAUAUUAAUUGAAUGGGCAAGAGACUGCUUGAUUAAAUGAAUGGGAAUGAAAUUCUGCUGAUUAAACCUCACUUGAUGAGUUUUUUUGUCAAAUAAUGGUACAGUUGUGGUGGGAAAAUUGUCAUUAUAAGACUUACUAAAAGGUUAGACAAAACAAAAUUUGUCUAAGACUGACAGAAGCAGUAAGUCAUAUUUUUCCCACCACGGUUGUCAAUUUAUACCUAAGAAAGGUUAUAAAUAAUAAAUAGCAUAAUAUUUAUUUAUUUAUUUGAACAUUUAACAAGAAUGACCCACUCAGCAGGUGCUGUUUUUCACUGGGGCCCUUGGAAUUACAAAUUCAUGAAAUAUUUAAAAUAUCUACAACCUAGAUCUAUACAAAUUUACAAAUCAACAUUUCAGAUUUCUAAUAAACCUAUAUUAACAUAUUAAAACUAUUAACAUAUAUACAGAUAAACAAUUCAGACUAGAAACAUAUUUUUACAAUAAACAUUUCAGACUAGGAGAUUAUAUACAGUUAAGCAUAUAUAAUGCUACUUAACAUUAUAUGGAAUCUUGUAUUGGGGGGGCAGCAACAACGUUCAACUGAAAAAUUCAAAAUUUGUCCAUAGUCAUAACAGUCAGAUAUACAGUAUAAAUAUAUUUUAAAAAUGAAAAUGCAUAAUGAGAUACU
This is a long non-coding RNA of Ictalurus furcatus (blue catfish), 2669 nucleotides long. RefSeq lists it as uncharacterized. The transcript is spliced from 3 exons. The record is from RefSeq and is a predicted model, not a curated record. Lineage: Eukaryota; Metazoa; Chordata; Actinopteri; Siluriformes; Ictaluridae.